AGCCCCGAGGUGUUUACAUAGCAGAUUGCAAAUCUGAAGUGGGAGACUAGCGUUUCCCGGGGCUU
RNAcentral lists this transfer RNA (65 nucleotides) under Percilia irwini. RNAcentral's name for it is "tRNA-Cys". The record is from RNAcentral. Lineage: Eukaryota; Metazoa; Chordata; Actinopteri; Centrarchiformes; Percichthyidae.